RNAcentral lists this transfer RNA (74 nucleotides) under Clostridium sp. RNAcentral's name for it is "tRNA-Gly". It matches the Rfam family "tRNA". From Rfam's summary of the family: Transfer RNA (tRNA) molecules are approximately 80 nucleotides in length. Their secondary structure includes four short double-helical elements and three loops (D, anti-codon, and T loops). Further hydrogen bonds mediate the characteristic L-shaped molecular structure. tRNAs have two regions of fundamental functional importance: the anti-codon, which is responsible for specific mRNA codon recognition, and the 3' end, to which the tRNAs corresponding amino acid is attached (by aminoacyl-tRNA synthetases). tRNAs cope with the degeneracy of the genetic code in two manners: having more than one tRNA (with a specific anti-codon) for a particular amino acid; and 'wobble' base-pairing, i.e. permitting non-standard base-pairing at the 3rd anti-codon position. Lineage: Bacteria; Bacillati; Bacillota; Clostridia; Eubacteriales; Clostridiaceae. The record is from RNAcentral. RNAcentral also lists the same sequence under 6 other names.
GCGGGUAUAGUUUAGAGGUAAAACAACAGCUUCCCAAGCUGUGGUCACGGGUUCGAUUCCCGUUACCCGCUCCA